Molecule: long non-coding RNA, 595 nt
Organism: Cygnus olor (mute swan)
Lineage: Eukaryota; Metazoa; Chordata; Aves; Anseriformes; Anatidae
Exons: 3
Source: RefSeq, a predicted model, not a curated record
UCUUCUUCCAUAUAGCUCUGUAGCUUGCUGACCAUGCCUUAUACAGCCCUGUAGGGUGGAAGUAGUACCUAUAGCCCAUUACUGUCCCUUGUUUCAGCUACAGACUCAGAAGUAAAUGAUCAAUAGUAGGAGAUAACAAGUGCGGACUUUCCAACUCUGCCUUUUGAGAAACAUCUCUUGAAGGAACCACUGAACUUCCUUCUAAAAGUCAUACACAACACUUUUUCAACAAUGAUGAGAAGGAGGUUCUCCCCUCAAAAGUCAAACAACAAAAAAAGUCGUCUUUGAAUCCAACUCUGGAGGUAACAAUGCUUAAGCAGUUGAGGACACCACAGUCUCAACUCGAACCUGUUCCUAUUCAUGUUAAUGGACAGCCACUUACAGAUCUGUGUGAUGUAUGGCCAAGACCCCAAGACCUGAGAGUUCAUCUUUGUGUUGUCAACUGGGAUUCCAGAUCUGUCUCCUCAACCCUUAUGCAACAGGGGUGUUGGACUCUGCCAGAUUUCAUGCAGCAGCUAUUACUUUGCUUGUUUCUGAAAAACUACAAACAAACAAAAAUGUUAAGAGAAAACAGUCUAUCUGUUUGGAAGCUAUA